RNAcentral lists this long non-coding RNA (731 nucleotides) under Chinchilla lanigera (long-tailed chinchilla). RNAcentral's name for it is "lncRNA (ENSCLAG00000024310.1)". Lineage: Eukaryota; Metazoa; Chordata; Mammalia; Rodentia; Chinchillidae. The record is from RNAcentral.
AAAACUGCUUCCCAGCCAUUAUCUCAUUUGAUCCUCACAGCAACUGGGUAUUAAUGUUGUGCUCAUUUUCCAGAUGAAAAAACUGAGGCCCAGAACUUUUGAGGCUAUGACCACUCAACUGUGAGUAAUAGAGCUGGAAUUCAAAAGGAAGUUUUCUGACUCUAAGCCCACAGCUCUAAACAGGAGGUCAUGAGAAUAAGGAAGCAAAAGUCCAUCAGAACAGUAAAGCGGGAGAAGCAGCAGAGCCGAGGGGAGGACAGCAAAUGUGGCAGAGACGGAGCUGGGGGCCUCCAGGUUAAACAUAAUAAAAGCUCCUGAGCAGCAAGGUUGCUCAUGGCAUAGCUGAGGGGGAAAUAGUUUUAUCUGUUGUGAAGAUAGCAUAGUCCUUCCUGGCUGCAGAGAGAGGGAAAGGUGAGCUCAAGAACAAAUCUCCCCACUUCUUACCUAAGAAGCCAAAGAAAGAGGAAAAACCUGAGCUUCUCCACUUACUCUUUCCUCCACCUGAGACUUUGGAACCCAGGUCGGUAUCCUCUGUGAGUUCCUGUCCCCAAGCCUGUGUGGGAGUCCAGCAUCAAGGGGACUGGUCCUCAGGAUCUCCUUUCCCAGCACUGAUUCAAGGCACCAAGUUGGAACAGACAGUCAUCUGGAGUCUCGGAGAGGGGCAAGCGGAAGAGGAGGGGCAGGUGGACCAGAACGUCCCUUCUGGUCAUCUUUUCCAAUCAGCAUGGUGA